RNAcentral lists this long non-coding RNA (3913 nucleotides) under Erythranthe guttata (spotted monkey flower). RNAcentral's name for it is "long non-coding RNA (EGUT_LNC002404)". The record is from RNAcentral. Lineage: Eukaryota; Viridiplantae; Streptophyta; Magnoliopsida; Lamiales; Phrymaceae.
AUAUGCUUACAUUUGGACAUCAUCAUCUGUUUGUAUAAAAACAUCAAAACACUGUGUUGUGGAGAUUAGUAAUGAACCUUAUCCAAAAUUGUUACAAGUUGUUAUAUGAAGAAUAAAUUCAAGUCUUUGAAAACAACUUCUCAAUAAUUCAUAAAACCAGUCAGAAAUGGGAAACUAUAGUAAAUUUUUUUUACCAAUUAUUAUUUAUUUUUAAGAUGCAUAUUAGACUCCAAUUUAAUAUUUUGCAAAGAAUUCCUAAAGUUCCAUUUUUAUUAAAUUACACUAACAAUAUAAAUAUAUUCCAUAGGUGGUGAAUGAGAAACAAAAUUUCUCUCAAUUUCUUCUCUUUUCUCGUCUCUUUUUCGGAAAAUAAUCGGAAUUAAUUUUACCUUGAUUUUUUUUUUUGAAGUGCUAAUUUCGAACUAGUUAUGGCAUACCUAUUGCUUUAGUAAUAUUUUCCUGUUUUCUUUUUGGCGUUAAGUUCCAACUUUUCUUGCUAUUUAUACUAAUUGUGGUUUUGGGAAGGAAAUAUGGUCAAGUAGUAGUAGAAAAUAGAAAUAUUGAUCUUGAAUGGAUCCUUAUGAAAUGGAUUUACGGAUCCUUAUGAAAUGACAAAUUAAAGUCUCUAAACUUUCCAUGUUUUUAGCAAUAAAAAACUGUCUUGUCUUUAUGGAGAAAAUUCUUCCAUGAUAUACCUUAGUGUACUAGUAGUAUAUAUAUAUGUGUAUAUUAGAUUUGGACGUCUACUUAGAAAAUAGAACAAGUUAAACUUAUGAUUAUGCAUUUGUAUCCAAUGAUGAAAUCGGAAUCUUGUGUGUAUUGUCGGUACAGAAUAGUAUCCGACUCAUUGAAUGAAGAUAUAGUUGUAACAUGUAAAUAAUGUACUCGCCAUAUAUAUUUUGUUGCUCAAUGUAGAUUGUAUGAACUUCGUUAUGGUUUUGUUUGUGUUUAUUACUGCAUAUACGUGAUUAUAUUUCGUCCUUGGCAAUCUCCAUGGAAUUUGGUGUUCCAUGCUGAUGACUGCUUGUCUAUGCGGGAAUGAUACUAAACGUAUUUUGGUUUUAUUGGUGAAGAAAGUGAGAAUUACAAGAUGAACCGUUGGAUGUUGAAAUGAAAAGCNNNNNNNNNNNNNNNNNNNNNNNNNNNNNNNNNNNNNNNNNNNNNNNNNNNNNNNNNNNNNNNNNNNNNNNNNNNNNNNNNNNNNNNNNNNNNNNNNNNNGUUACAUAAGCUCGUAAAAUCCUCCUCUGUUUAACUUUCUUAUCUCGAUGAAUGUAUGCUGCUUUAACGAGUCACAGCCGUCAAUUGAUAUCUGCAGUUACGUGUUAUUCGUAUAAUAAGUAUGUAGAAUAAUAGUUUGGUUUUGUUGCAAGCAGCAAACGAACACAGCUGACAUGUUAGAAGAAGCAGUAGUCUAUGUAAAGUUCCUGCAGAAACAGAUCCAGGUUAUUCAUUCAUUAUUAUUAACCUAUAAAGUGAUCAUAUCCAUGUAGAAAAUUUUCUCCAUGGUUGUUGUUGAUGGUUCCUUGAUUACCUUAGCUUUACGAGCUAAGGUAAUCAAUCAAUCACACUUAUCACUGACUCAGUUUGGCAUAUUUUUGAUUCACUUGCAUCACACUUGUCUUUGAUUCUGUUGAAUUUAACUUUCAUUGGAAAACCAUGUGCAUUUGCAGGAACUUACGGAGCAUCAGAAGGAUUGCAAAUGCUUAAUUAAUGAUUGACCGAAACGACAGACCAAGACCAAUUUGUGUGGUAUGUUACUCAAAAUCCUACUUACUACAUACCAAUUUAUAGAUGAUCUUUGCUGUGGGAAAAGCAAAGCUAUUGUGGGGACCAGUACCUACUUACUACAUACCAAUUUAUUAUUGUUAGGAACUAUUUAAUUUAAUAAUUUAUUUUAAUUUUUAAUUAGGAACUAAUUAUUUUACUAAUUUUGUUUAUUAUUAUUACGAACUAUUUAAUUUACUAGUUUGUUGUUUUGUAUUUUAAUUCACUAGUUUUAUUAUUUGAAUUUAGAAACUACGUACAACUGAAGCAAUUAAAGUACAUAUUUAAACAACCUUACAAACAAUCUUACAAAUUUAAUACAUUCCAAAAACAUAGAUUAAACAUAUAAAAUGCAAAACACAACGCUACAAAUUUAAAUAUUCCAAAACAUAAGUUUGAAUGCAAAAUUAAAACAAAUAUAAAUUUAAACAUAAGUUAAACUUUCAAAUACCCGGCAGAUGGUUAUGAUUACCAUUACUCACACUCAAUCGCCAUAAUCCAUCCUCCGUUGAUUUUUUGCCAAUUAACCUGAACGGACAAGAACGUUUCUUCAAUAGUCCGUGUCGUCCAGAUUGAUAUCUUGCACACGUUAAAACAUGAUAUUUUUCUGAUUUACAAUGAUUAAUCAGACUUCUAUUCCGUCUUGUUUGCUUAUUCCCCCUCCCCCUACAUUUAUAUUUCAUUGUCUUGUCCAUUGCUUGCAGUUGUUCUGAUAGUGUCUUAACUUAAAGCUAUUGCUGGGAUCGAGACAUAUUGGGGAAGAUGAUCUAAUUUGUGGUUUAUUUGUUUCAUAUGAAUUCCAUCAACCUUUUUGUGUGCUAAUACCCCUCACUGUCUUGAUGUUUUAUAUCGUCUUGUCUGGUAAAUGCAGUUGGAUAUGAGGUUUAGAGUCUUGUUUUAAAAGCUGCUAAUGGGAUGGAUCCUUAAUGGGGAAGAAAUUAUAAUUUGUCAUCUAAUUUUAUUCGACUGCUUUACAAUGAUUAAUGGUAUGCUGGAAUUCUCUAUCCACACAAUUUUUUUCUAUUAACUUGUUUGAUUAAUAAUUACAGAGACUAAUUGUUUUCGUAUAUUCAGUCAAGUUACCGGACAUGCUCUCGUGUAUGCAUAUCGAAACCGAGACACCAACGGAGCUGCAGCAAAGAUUGAACGAUUUGCUCAGGUGUAAUGAAUUACGAAUUGUUUGAUAUUAUACAUACACAUAUAUUUUCUGUAAAUAUAAAACGAAACUUGCGAAUCUUGCAAUACAGGUUUCUCCAGAGCAACCAAGGAGCAUUUUUCAAUUCAAAUUACCAGAAAUCGGAAGGUUUUGUGGGUGCUGUAAAGAAAGAAGAGAAAUAGGUAAUAUGUUUGGACUCUUAUUCAGUUAUAUAUGCUAUCUACCAAUCAUAUGCUUACAUUUGGACAUCAUCAUCUGUUUGUAUAAAAACAUCAAAACACUGUGUUGUGGAGAUUAGUAAUGAACCUUAUCCAAAAUUGUUACAAGUUGUUAUAUGAAGAAUAAAUUCAAGUCUUUGAAAACAACUUCUCAAUAAUUCAUAAAACCAGUCAGAAAUGGGAAACUAUAGUAAAUUUUUUUUACCAAUUAUUAUUUAUUUUUAAGAUGCAUAUUAGACUCCAAUUUAAUAUUUUGCAAAGAAUUCCUAAAGUUCCAUUUUUAUUAAAUUACACUAACAAUAUAAAUAUAUUCCAUAGGUGGUGAAUGAGAAACAAAAUUUCUCUCAAUUUCUUCUCUUUUCUCGUCUCUUUUUCGGAAAAUAAUCGGAAUUAAUUUUACCUUGAUUUUUUUUGUUGAAGUGCUAAUUUCGAACUAGUUAUGGCAUGCUUCCAAAUAAAAAAUAGAACAGUUAAUUAAGUAAUUAACAAUCGGUAAUCAGUUCAUCCUCUCCAUUGUGUUUUAAACUAUUUCGACAUAAAAUUUUAUAGCGGUAGGCGCUUCUGCUUCUGCCGGCGGCUCCUCCUCCAUCUGUACACAAACAACACUACCCGGAAAAUUAUUUUUCUACGAUCGAAAAAAAACCCACCAUUAUUUCCCCAUUUCCUCUGCUUUUCCAUGGUUGCAUUUUGAAGAUCUAAGCCUCUCAUUAUUCAUUAACUCAACUCUUGAUUACCGUAAUCAAUUAAUUAAUUAAUUAAUCCUGCUUAUCCCCA